CAGCCUAACACAUGCAAGUCGAGCGGUAGAGAGAAGCUUGCUUCUCUUGAGAGCGGCGGACGGGUGAGUAAUGCCUAGGAAUCUGCCUGGUAGUGGGGGAUAACGUUCGGAAACGAACGCUAAUACCGCAUACGUCCUACGGGAGAAAGCAGGGGACCUUCGGGCCUUGCGCUAUCAGAUGAGCCUAGGUCGGAUUAGCUAGUUGGUGAGGUAAUGGCUCACCAAGGCGACGAUCCGUAACUGGUCUGAGAGGAUGAUCAGUCACACUGGAACUGAGACACGGUCCAGACUCCUACGGGAGGCAGCAGUGGGGAAUAUUGGACAAUGGGCGAAAGCCUGAUCCAGCCAUGCCGCGUGUGUGAAGAAGGUCUUCGGAUUGUAAAGCACUUUAAGUUGGGAGGAAGGGUAGUAACCUAAUACGUUGCUACUUUGACGUUACCGACAGAAUAAGCACCGGCUAACUUCGUG
This 468-nucleotide ribosomal RNA is filed under the name uncultured bacterium. Its description in RNAcentral is "bacterial SSU rRNA". It matches the Rfam family "Bacterial small subunit ribosomal RNA", at positions 43 to 507 of the family's 1533-position model. The record is from RNAcentral.